Molecule: long non-coding RNA, 1221 nt
Filed under: Amborella trichopoda
Lineage: Eukaryota; Viridiplantae; Streptophyta; Magnoliopsida; Amborellales; Amborellaceae
Description: long non-coding RNA (ATRI_LNC002071)
Source: RNAcentral
GCGUUUUGAUGAGAAAAGCCUCCAAAUUGCUAGAAAAUAUAAAAAGUAACAAGGUUUCCCAAAGUGUGUCGGAAUUUAUAGAGGACAAGUCCAAAAUGGCCGAGCCCAAGGUAUAGGACAACAUAAAUUUAACUCAAUGCAUCCCAUAAUACGCUUUUGUUCAUACAACUUAAAGCUCCAUAUAUGACUCCAAGACACUCAAUCCUUAUAUACAUUCCCUGCAAAAAUCACAAAGAUCACUUCAGUUAGUCCCUAAUACAAGUUACACUCAAAGGGGUUAUAAAAAGAAUGACUUACAAUACAAUUUCUCUUGAUCAUAAUUCAUCCAUGUAGAUAUUACUCACAAUAUAACACAAAUACUUAAAAUGCCAGCACUUUGAUAAACUCAAUCUCCGAAAACAAAUAUAUGUAACUAGUCUAAUGGCAUAGAAAGCCGUUGAAAUUUUCUCAAAUUGCUGGGAUCCCCACAAACUUAAACACAACCCUUGUUAUAGCUCUCCUCUAUAGCACAAGCUAAUGAGGCUUAGAUUCAACCAAAUGUAAGCAUAUACCAUAAUAAAAUCUUACCACACUAAGAAAAGGGCCUUAAAUGAACCACGUGUGGGAAAUAAUAGGUGAGAGCAAUAUGGGAGAUAGAGAGUGUAGAACAAGGGGUAUAUGCAAGCCAAUGUAGGUGUGGGUACUACAAACAUCAUGACAUGAUGGUGGCUUAAGGGUACUUUAAUAAAACUCAUAUAGAACUCAAAUGCUCACUGCUAUACUCAAAGAACUCAUAACAUUCAGGAAGAAAACACUUACAAGAAGUUAUAGAUAAUGUGUACAACUACUUCAAAGUGCUAGGCAUGCAACACCACAUAUCCUAACUUUAAAACAUGAAAGAGAACUCAAGAAAAUAAAUCAUAUAAGGAACUAAACCUCAGUAAAAGAGAACUCAAGAAAAUAGAUCAUCCCAAUAAGUUUGAUGUAGGACUUCAUUUGUUUUUUUCACCAUGUAAGCUUAUAGCUCACGUGCAAAUAGAAGACUUCUGAUGGAAAGUGUUCUUUCAUAUUUAACUGAACCUUUCAUAAAGUCAGGAACUUUGAUUUCCUUUUGAAGGAUAUAAUUAUACUUACUUUUAGGCCGUAUGAGCUGUCUCUUGAGAGGUUGUGAGACAAAAGAAUAAUGGUGUAAGGAGUUUUAGAUGCGGGUAGUCCAUCUUUGAGGUCUUCACUAAAGGAAAG